RNAcentral lists this ribosomal RNA (497 nucleotides) under uncultured bacterium. RNAcentral's name for it is "partial 16S ribosomal RNA". It matches the Rfam family "Bacterial small subunit ribosomal RNA", at positions 28 to 507 of the family's 1533-position model. The record is from RNAcentral.
GAUGAACGCUGGCGGCGUGCCUAAUACAUGCAAGUCGAGCGAACAGACGAGGAGCUUGCUCCUCUGACGUUAGCGGCGGACGGGUGAGUAAUACGUGGAUAACCUACCUAUAAGACUGGGAUAACUUCGGGAAACCGGAGCUAAUACCGGAUAAUAUAUUGAACCGUAUGGUUUAAUAGUGAAAGACGGUUUUGCUGUCACUUAUAGAUGGUUCCGCGCCGCAUUAGCUAGUUGGUAAGGUAACGGCUUACCAAGGCAACGAUGCGUAGCCGACCUGAGAGGGUGAUCGGCCACACUGGAACUGAAACACGGUCCAGACUCCUACGGGAGGCAGCAGUAGGGAAUCUUCCGCAAUGGGCGAAAGCUUGACGGAGCAACGCCGCGUGAGUGAUGAAGGUCUUCGGAUCGUAAAUCUCUGUUAUUAGGGAAGAACAAAUGUGUAAGUAACUAUGCACGUCUUGACGGUACCUUAUCAGAAAGCCACGGCUAACUACGUG